Molecule: RNA transcript, 866 nt
Organism: Selaginella moellendorffii
Lineage: Eukaryota; Viridiplantae; Streptophyta; Lycopodiopsida; Selaginellales; Selaginellaceae
Exons: 5
Source: RefSeq, a predicted model, not a curated record
UCUAGGGCAAAAAUAUUCCAGGGAUGAAGAAGACGAAGAAGAGGCGAGAGCACCGGCCGAUCGGCGUCGCUACCAAGUCGAAGAUCACGAAAAAAUCCAAUGCUCCAUCAAAAGCAGCAGCGGCGCCGGUAGAUAGAAACGAUAUCCAGUUCAAAUCACCUCGGGAUCAAUCGUCCUGGUUCUUCUCCACAUUUCGAGCAGUUCACAGUAGCGUCUUGUCUUCUCUGGAGAUGGGGGCUCUCCCAGACGAUGCGAUGGUUGAGAUCCCCAGCAAUCAGGAUCACUGCAUUGAGAACCUGGCCUCGGUUAUCAAAGGCAUUGUUGGAUCUUCGUGGGAGAGCUCUCUGUGCAGUGGAGCUCUUGGAGAUUUGGAGCCAGGAAGCCCGAUUGUUCUCAUUGUGAGCAGUUCCGCAGUACGCUGUGUCAGUCUUCUCAAGAACUUGGCCAGUUUGACAAAAGAAUGCAAGCCUGGGAAGCUUUUCGCGAAGCACUUGAAGGUGGAAGAGCAAGUCUCAGCGCUGAAACAACGAGUCAAUAUUGCCGCAGGGACACCGAGCCGAAUUCCUUUCCUUUGUUCUCAGGCUCAAGAAGCUGAUCGACAUUGGCGCUCUGGGGCUUUCACGGCUCUCCUUGCUCGUCUUUGACAUGCACAAGGAUGCCAAAGGAUUGACGCUCUUCACAGUUCCUCAAGUCAGAAAAGAACUUUGGGAGCUCUACAGGCUCCAUUUUCACAACGGUGUUGUGGAAGGCAGGCUUCGUUUGUGCUUGUAUUGAUAGAGGUUCAAUCGAAUAUUCUUAAGUAUGUACUGUACGGAGAAUGUUUAGUUUACGUAUAUUUAAUCUAACGGUUGAUAUUUCCUGUUUAA